Molecule: ribosomal RNA, 634 nt
Filed under: Shigella sonnei
Lineage: Bacteria; Pseudomonadati; Pseudomonadota; Gammaproteobacteria; Enterobacterales; Enterobacteriaceae
Description: bacterial SSU rRNA
Rfam family: Bacterial small subunit ribosomal RNA
Source: RNAcentral
UUGUGCCCUUGAGGCGUGGCUUCCGGAGCUAACGCGUUAAGUCGACCGCCUGGGGAGUACGGCCGCAAGGUUAAAACUCAAAUGAAUUGACGGGGGCCCGCACAAGCGGUGGAGCAUGUGGUUUAAUUCGAUGCAACGCGAAGAACCUUACCUGGUCUUGACAUCCACAGAACUUUCCAGAGAUGGAUUGGUGCCUUCGGGAACUGUGAGACAGGUGCUGCAUGGCUGUCGUCAGCUCGUGUUGUGAAAUGUUGGGUUAAGUCCCGCAACGAGCGCAACCCUUAUCCUUUGUUGCCAGCGGUCCGGCCGGGAACUCAAAGGAGACUGCCAGUGAUAAACUGGAGGAAGGUGGGGAUGACGUCAAGUCAUCAUGGCCCUUACGACCAGGGCUACACACGUGCUACAAUGGCGCAUACAAAGAGAAGCGACCUCGCGAGAGCAAGCGGACCUCAUAAAGUGCGUCGUAGUCCGGAUUGGAGUCUGCAACUCGACUCCAUGAAGUCGGAAUCGCUAGUAAUCGUGGAUCAGAAUGCCACGGUGAAUACGUUCCCGGGCCUUGUACACACCGCCCGUCACACCAUGGGAGUGGGUUGCAAAAGAAGUAGGUAGCUUAACCUUCGGGAGGGCGCUUACC